Molecule: ribosomal RNA, 937 nt
Filed under: Leuconostoc mesenteroides
Lineage: Bacteria; Bacillati; Bacillota; Bacilli; Lactobacillales; Lactobacillaceae
Description: bacterial SSU rRNA
Rfam family: Bacterial small subunit ribosomal RNA
Source: RNAcentral
GCUAUACUGCAGUCGAACGCACAGCGAAAGGUGCUUGCACCUUUCAAGUGAGUGGCGAACGGGUGAGUAACACGUGGACAACCUGCCUCAAGGCUGGGGAUAACAUUUGGAAACAGAUGCUAAUACCGAAUAAAACUUAGUGUCGCAUGACACAAAGUUAAAAGGCGCUUCGGCGUCACCUAGAGAUGGAUCCGCGGUGCAUUAGUUAGUUGGUGGGGUAAAGGCCUACCAAGACAAUGAUGCAUAGCCGAGUUGAGAGACUGAUCGGCCACAUUGGGACUGAGACACGGCCCAAACUCCUACGGGAGGCUGCAGUAGGGAAUCUUCCACAAUGGGCGAAAGCCUGAUGGAGCAACGCCGCGUGUGUGAUGAAGGCUUUCGGGUCGUAAAGCACUGUUGUAUGGGAAGAACAGCUAGAAUAGGAAAUGAUUUUAGUUUGACGGUACCAUACCAGAAAGGGACGGCUAAAUACGUGCCAGCAGCCGCGGUAAUACGUAUGUCCCGAGCGUUAUCCGGAUUUAUUGGGCGUAAAGCGAGCGCAGACGGUUUAUUAAGUCUGAUGUGAAAGCCCGGAGCUCAACUCCGGAAUGGCAUUGGAAACUGGUUAACUUGAGUGCAGUAGAGGUAAGUGGAACUCCAUGUGUAGCGGUGGAAUGCGUAGAUAUAUGGAAGAACACCAGUGGCGAAGGCGGCUUACUGGACUGCAACUGACGUUGAGGCUCGAAAGUGUGGGUAGCAAACAGGAUUAGAUACCCUGGUAGUCCACACCGUAAACGAUGAACACUAGGUGUUAGGAGGUUUCCGCCUCUUAGUGCCGAAGCUAACGCAUUAAGUGUUCCGCCUGGGGAGUACGACCGCAAGGUUGAAACUCAAAGGAAUUGACGGGGACCCGCACAAGCGGUGGAGCAUGUGGUUUAAUUCGAAGCAACGCGAGAAC